CAAGUACUUAAUGUCAAGUAUGUGAUUUCAAUAUACAAUAAGGUUAUUUCUUCCCCUCUUUGCAGGGAUAUCAUUGAUAAAUGGCCUGGCUCAAAUCCUGUAAUGAUGUUCAUAAAAAUUCCAGUCCAGGAUGAGCUCAUCCAUCUGUUUUUUAAGCAAGAAGUAAAAAUUUCAGUAGAUCAUUUAUUUGAAGAUACUCUCAUUAUAGUCAUGGCAUCAUUUACAUUGUUCAAGAUCCAAGCAAUGCUAAGGAAUUACAUAAAUAAGGAUCACUACUAUGUAAGUAUUAAAACGUAAUAGCUAAUUUUGCUCUGCAAUGAUAAUUUGGCCAUUAGUGAUAUGAAUUGAUAGGGAAUACAAUUUAUUUCUGUUGAAUAUACUUACUGUCACUGUUAGCACAUAGCUUUGCA
RNAcentral lists this long non-coding RNA (410 nucleotides) under Anas platyrhynchos platyrhynchos (common mallard). Its description in RNAcentral is "lncRNA (ENSAPLG00000025085.1)". Lineage: Eukaryota; Metazoa; Chordata; Aves; Anseriformes; Anatidae. The record is from RNAcentral.